CCUCCAUCUGCCUUGGUAAGGCUAAGAAGGAUGGCCAUAGACACAGACUCAAGCUCCUCUGAGUCCUGAGUCCGGGAGUAAAGACAGGAUCCGGCAUGACACAGAAGGUAACUCAAGCCCAGCCUGCCAUUUCUACGCUGGAGAAUGAGGCUGUGACCUUGGAUUGUGUAUACGAA
This is a non-coding RNA of Callorhinus ursinus (northern fur seal), 176 nucleotides long. The record is from RefSeq and is a predicted model, not a curated record. NCBI's taxonomy places the organism in Eukaryota, Metazoa, Chordata, Mammalia, Carnivora, Otariidae.